This 468-nucleotide ribosomal RNA is filed under the name uncultured bacterium. RNAcentral's name for it is "partial 16S ribosomal RNA". It matches the Rfam family "Bacterial small subunit ribosomal RNA", at positions 28 to 507 of the family's 1533-position model. The record is from RNAcentral.
GACGAACGCUGGCGGCGUGCUUAACACAUGCAAGUCGAACGGAAAGGCCCUGCUUUUGUGGGGUGCUCGAGUGGCGAACGGGUGAGUAACACGUGAGUAACCUGCCCUUGACUUUGGGAUAACUUCAGGAAACUGGGGCUAAUACCGGAUAGGAGCCCCUGCUGCAUGGUGGGGGUUGGAAAGUUUCGGCGGUUGGGGAUGGACUCGCGGCUUAUCAGCUUGUUGGUGGGGUAGUGGCUUACCAAGGCUUUGACGGGUAGCCGGCCUGAGAGGGUGACCGGCCACAUUGGGACUGAGAUACGGCCCAGACUCCUACGGGAGGCAGCAGUGGAGAAUAUUGCACAAUGGGCGGAAGCCUGAUGCAGCAACGCCGCGUGCGGGAUGACGGCCUUCGGGUUGUAAACCGCUUUCGCCUGUGACGAAGCGUGAGUGACGGUAAUGGGUAAAGAAGCACCGGCUAACUACGUG